RNAcentral lists this small nuclear RNA (111 nucleotides) under Canis lupus familiaris (dog). RNAcentral also lists the same sequence under 1 other name. Lineage: Eukaryota; Metazoa; Chordata; Mammalia; Carnivora; Canidae. The record is from RNAcentral.
AUGUAGAAUUUGAGUGCUUGCAUAUAUAUUAAAAUUGGAAUGAUACAGAGAAGAUUAGCAUGGCCCCUACACAAGGAUACCAUGCAGAGUCAUGAAGUAUUCCACAUCCUC